GGUCCUUUAUCCGAGAAACAAAACAACCCAGUUUUGCAGAAGAGCUCGAAGCCCCUCCCCGGGCUCCUGUGCAGGAGGUUUUUGCCCAGGCAAGUCCAUGGGUUCCCCAGAAGGGAUGCGAGCCUGGAAGCGCAUCGCCCUCGCCGGCGGGGUGAUCACAGCGGUCCUGGUGGUGACCCUCCUCCUGGUGCUCUGCCUGCCGGCCGCGGCGCAGGGGCUGGCGYGGUGCAGGGGCUGCGUGGGGAACGGCACGCUGGCGGCGGCACGGGGGGCCGACUGGGACCAGGCGAUGGCGCAGGUGGCCGCGCUGCAGGCAGAGCUGGGCAGCGUCAAACGGUCCCUGGAGGAGACGCGCGGGCUCUGGGACAGCUGCAGGCUGCACCUGGACACCUUGCAGAGGAACGUCACGGCCCUGGAGCAGGCGCUGGCGCUGCUGCGGCACCAGGGAUCGGAGCAGGGGGCCAGGACGGCCGCGCUGCAAGAGGAGAACAGGGAGCUCAAGGAGGAGUUGGCGCAGCAAAGGCAGCAGCUGGAGGACGUGCAGAGGGGCAGGAGCAGUCUCCAGUCGCAGAUCUCGAACCUGCUGCAGCAGCUCCAGGCCCUGCAGAGCAGGACCUCGAGUGGCACCCAGCCCCCAGCCUCGAGCCUGGCCGCGCGCCUCAGCCUCCCGGCCCUGGUCCUCACGGGGACGCUCUUCCUUUGAGCCCGAAGCAGCCGGCACGAGGGCCUGGCCGAUCCUCCGUCCCCCGUUGCCCUGAUGUGGGGUGAGGAGGGACCGUCUCCAUCCGGAGGGGCGGCAGCUCAAGGAGCGCCCGGUCCAGGAGCCCCCAUCCCUGCUCARCCCUGCCUCUGGCUCACCUCAUCCCCUGCCGCCUCCAAACCCACCCUGGCCCCAUUCACUGCCAGAGCAUCCCGGGGACACAGCUUGCUUCCAGCUGCAAACCGCUGGCCAGCUGUGCCAUGCCUGGGCCAGGCAGGGGCCUCGGACUCGCCACGGUUUGAUAGUAUUUAACCUAAUAAAAACUUGUGAAAAGCCA
This 1037-nucleotide long non-coding RNA is filed under the name Apteryx owenii (little spotted kiwi). RNAcentral describes it as "lncRNA (ENSAOWG00000003661.1)". Lineage: Eukaryota; Metazoa; Chordata; Aves; Apterygiformes; Apterygidae. The record is from RNAcentral.